Molecule: long non-coding RNA, 429 nt
Filed under: Chrysolophus pictus (golden pheasant)
Lineage: Eukaryota; Metazoa; Chordata; Aves; Galliformes; Phasianidae
Description: lncRNA (ENSCPIG00010010792.1)
Source: RNAcentral
AGAGGGGGCCACAGCCUGGAGGCGGAGCUUGAGGCUGAAAGGAGGCGGAGCCUACGGCUGGGGGAGGAGCUUGAGGCUGAAAGGGGGCGGGGCCAAGCCAAGGGGGCGGGGCCUGAUGGAGAGAAGCCUUUGGAGGAGACCCCAUUGCUGCUCCGUGCGCAGCUCAGUGCUCUCAGCCACAUCCUGACCCUGCAGGAGCGUGAGCUGAACCGGGAGGUGAGAAGUGGGGGGGCUUCUGGGAAACCCCUGGGGGGUGCAGCUGCGGGUGCAGGAUGAGAACCAGAAGGUGCUGAGGGUGCAGGAGGUGACACGGGAGCGGGGCCGGGCGGAGGCGGCUGAACAGGCAGUGAGGGGGCUGUCCCAUGCAAUCACCAGGUAUGGGGGGGCAAUGGGGGGCGGGGGGGGGGAUCCCAGGGUCACCGUGUCACA